GAGAAAGAAGGGAAAUCUGCCCAGUAUUAUAUAUUAGGAAAAAGGAUUGGGUCUUCUGUACAGUCAUGAAAAAGGGACAUUUAAACAGAAUCAGCCACGAAAAGCACCAUGAAACAGCAGAUGCAGAGAAAAAGCUACCUCCUCCUCCUCCUACACAUUACAAUUCCCAUAAGAAGUGGAUCAUAUAUCUCUCCUUCCUGCGGUGCAAGUUCCCAGGCAAUUACUAGAAAGCCUUACACUUCC
Molecule: long non-coding RNA, 243 nt
Organism: Spea bombifrons (plains spadefoot toad)
Lineage: Eukaryota; Metazoa; Chordata; Amphibia; Anura; Pelobatidae
Exons: 2
Source: RefSeq, a predicted model, not a curated record